RNAcentral lists this ribosomal RNA (253 nucleotides) under uncultured bacterium. RNAcentral's name for it is "partial 16S ribosomal RNA". It matches the Rfam family "Bacterial small subunit ribosomal RNA", at positions 524 to 776 of the family's 1533-position model. The record is from RNAcentral.
UACGAAGGGGGCUAGCGUUGCUCGGAAUUACUGGGCGUAAAGGGCGCGUAGGCGGAUAGUUUAGUCAGAGGUGAAAGCUCAGGGCUCAACCUUGGAAUUGCCUUUGAUACUGGCUAUCUUGAGUUCGGGAGAGGUGAGUGGAAUGCCGAGUGUAGAGGUGAAAUUCGUAGAUAUUCGCAAGAACACCAGUGGCGAAGGCGGCUCACUGGCCCGAUACUGACGCUGAGGUGCGAAAGCGUGGGGAGCAAACAGG